This 264-nucleotide ribosomal RNA is filed under the name uncultured bacterium. RNAcentral's name for it is "partial 16S ribosomal RNA". It matches the Rfam family "Bacterial small subunit ribosomal RNA", at positions 793 to 1055 of the family's 1533-position model. The record is from RNAcentral.
GUCCACGCCGUAAACGAUGGAUGCUAGCCGUCAGCAAGCAUGCUUGUUGGUGGCGCAGCUAACGCAUUAAGCAUCCCGCCUGUGGAGUACGGCCGCAAGGUUAAAACUCAAAGGAAUUGACGGGGGCCCGCACAAGCGGUGGAGCAUGUGGUUUAAUUCGACGCAACGCGAAGAACCUUACCAACCCUUGACAUGCCCGGACGGUUUCCAGAGAUGGAUUCCUCCCAGCAAUGGGUCGGGACACAGGUGCUGCAUGGCUGUCGU